Molecule: unclassified non-coding RNA, 173 nt
Filed under: Aspergillus nomiae
Lineage: Eukaryota; Fungi; Ascomycota; Eurotiomycetes; Eurotiales; Aspergillaceae
Description: Aspergillus nomius miscellaneous RNA
Source: RNAcentral
GCUGCCCAUCAAGCACGGCUUGUGUGUUGGGUCGUCGUCCCCCCCUCCGGGGGGGGACGGGCCCUAAAGGCAGCGGCGGCACCGCGUCCGAUCCUCGAGCGUAUGGGGCUUUGUCACCCGCUCUGUAGGCCCGGCCGGCGCUUGCCGAACGCAAAACAACCAUUCUUUCCAGG